This is a long non-coding RNA of Macaca fascicularis (crab-eating macaque), 4436 nucleotides long. Lineage: Eukaryota; Metazoa; Chordata; Mammalia; Primates; Cercopithecidae. The record is from Ensembl.
GUGCCUCAGCCUCUUGAGUAGCCAGGAUUACAGGUGUGUGCCACCAUGCCUGGUUAAUUUUUAUAUUUUUAGUAAAGACAAGGUUUCACCAUGUUGACCAGGCUGGUCUUGAACUCCUGACCUCAAGUGACCCACCCCCCUUGGCCUCCCAAAGUGCUGGGACAGUGAGCCACUGCGCCCAGCCUUCCCAUCUUAUUUCUUAGAAGUAAGGCUUCAAAUCCCUUUAAUGAAGUGCGUAUGGAAAGCUAAGUCAUCACUGGCCAUUAUUAAUUUAGUCUAACUUAGUUUAUAAGACUAUUUCCUUAUUGGACCCUGUAAGAAAAGUGCACAGCCUACUUAAAUUUUGUGGAGAAUGAUGCUGGUGAUAAAGGACUGGGUUUCUGGAAAUUCAUGGUGUUGGUCAAUAUGCAGUAAAUAGAGGAAAGAAAAAAAGAGCUUAGGAGAGGGGUCAAAAAAGAAUGCAGAGGGUAAAGAGCUGGCCCCAACCAAACUUUGCACAUGGUGGGAUGCUCCACACUUGCAUUAUGCUUUUCUGUGUCAUUUUGUGUGAACUCACAUGGUUUUAGAAUCAGAAUACAGUUUGCAAGAGAGUCAGUAAACAAUAAUCUUAUAGAGGGAACAAUUUCUAAAAUAAUAAUAGUUAUCUUUUAUUGUGCACAUAGUACGUGUCUGGCACAUUACUAAGUAUUUUGUGUGCAUUCUCUCUCUUAAUUCCUUCCAAUAAAUUUAGGGAGUGACUAGUAGUACAAAUUAGGAAAGGAAGCAGACGGUAUUCGGAAACUUUUCAAAAGGUAAUAAAACCAAUAAGUGGGAAAUUUGAACUCAAAUCUCUCUGACCUUGAUUCUCUUCCUGUUUUCCUCCUUGAGGAAGAUGUAUGUUUUUGCUACCAGCUGGGAAAAAAGCUUUGAUUUUAAAGGGAUUGCAUGGUUGGAUGAGACUCGUGUGAUACGGUCUUCUCUGUAUUUUAAAGUGAACUGACUUGACACUUUAGUCACAUCUGUGAAAUCCCUUCACAAGCUGUACCUAGGUUAGUGUUUGAAUAAACAUGGGACAGGAAUCUGAAUUUUUAGAAUUCCACCUGCCACAUUUUAGCUUUCAAAAUUUUGGACUGAUGAUAAUUGAGUUAAUUUUUUAUGUAACUUUUUUGACAAAAAAUCAAUUAAUACUUAUAAACACUAAAGCUAACCUACUGAAGGUAAGUAUCAUUAUAAUCCAUUAUAAUCCAUUCAUUAAAAAAUUCUUUAUUUUCUUCAUAUUUUUCUCCAUCAUGGAUUCUUUGGGUUAUAAUACUGCAGUAUUUCAUCAAACAUUUCUUCAAUUUUUGCCAUUUGUUUGGAGUUCAAAGGAAAUGUCAAUUCACACCUCCCCAGUUUUUAAUCAUGCAAAAUAUUCUAUUGCUGAUUUUGGAUAAAAACACAGUUGACAGAAAAAAAAUCUAUUCACUCAAUAAGGGAAAACAGUGACUUCAUGACUAUUUAUUUUAUAUUUCAGAAAAAAAACUGAGUAUUGGCAGAUCGGAGGCUGACGAAAGUUACUCUCGUCCAGUUUGGGGAUCAAAUGCAAAUAUCCCCUUCUUUGCUUCUUCCUAAUGAAUUGCAAUUGAAAUGUUACAUUUUCAUUUUAGAUUGACAAAGGGAAAAACACCCAGCAAUAUUCUGAGGCCAAAAAUUAUGGCUGGAACCUUCAUGAAAGCUUUGUUCCCUGAAUGCUGGUUUAUCAAAACUGCCCAGUGUCUCAUUUAAGUGAACUAUUCUAAUGAAAAAGAUUUGGUGAGCAAGCAUUGGUCUAAGCAACAUUGCUUUCCCAGUCUGUCUUCUAGUUUCAUAUGGGAAAACCUGGAUGUUUCAAAAUAGUCACAGGUUAUGAUAAUAUUCAGAGAAAUACAGAAUAUUCCAAGUGGGGUAUUGGUGAGAUAGACAAAAUGUGUUUCAUCUUUGUGAAACACAGUUACCUUUAAACAUUGUAAAAACUCCCAACAUCAGUCCUGUAAGGUGCUGGACACUUCUUUUGGUGCUGCAAAAAUAUACGAGAACAGAACAAAAAUCAUGACCUGAUGAAGGCUAUGUAAGAAUGACUUUAGCCAGGUGCACUAGGAGACUGUGCUAUCUUAAACCUAUCAAGUAGGAUACAAUGUCACAAUGAAACUUACAGCCAAAUUGAUAUUCUCUCAUGUGACAUGUGUUUGGGGUUAGACCCCUUGAAUAACUCCAGUCCUGGGGUUGCUGGUCAAACAUAACAAAAUCCUUACAAAGCCACUGAGGAAGAGAACGACAGGAGAUUUCACCAUCCUAGAGGUCCAUCCAACCUUGGAUUCCAGUGGAUAACUCCACAUUGUUUUUCUGUCCUCAAAAUGGCACAACAGAGUUGUACUGAGAGAUAGAAAGGAAUUGAUAGCCUCCACUGAGAACCCUUUCUGCCUAAAAUGAAGUCAUAUGUGAUAGGUUGAAUAAAUGUCCCUGAGAUGUCUACAUCCGAGUCCCCAGAACCAGUGAACAUGUUGCUUUCUGUAGUAAGUGGGACUUCGAAGAUGUGAUUAAAUUCAGGAUCUCAAGAUGGGAAGCUUGGUUUGGAUUAUUCGGGUAGACUCAAUGUGAUCACAGGGGUCCUUAUAUGAGGGAGGGAGGAGGAUCAGUCAUUAGUUUGAUAUGAUGGCAAAAGAGGUUGGAGUAAUUCAAGGAAGAGGCCCCUGAGCCAAGAAAUGCAGGCAGCUUCUAAAAGCUGGAUAGGCAAGAAAACAAUCCCCUGGGACUUCCGGAAGGAACCAAUUCUGCGGAUACCUUGAUUUUUUCUCUGUGAGGCUGACGUAGACUUGUGACUUCUGGAACUGCAAGAUAAUGAAUUUGUGUUGUUUUAAGCCACCAUUUGUGGUAACUUGUUACAAUAGUAAUAGGAAUGAACACACCACUGAAGACUGCAUUAAACGCCUGAUUUCUUAAUAAUUAUUUUUAAAAAUAGCAAGUGUACCACUUUCAGACUUCACCUGGGGAAGCUACACUUUUUUUUUUCUUUCUUUUAGGAGGGGUCUCACUCUGUCACCCAGGCUAGAGUGCAGCGGCGUGAUCUUGGCUCACUGCAACCUCUACCUCCCAGGCUCAAGUGAUCCUCCCACCUCAGCCUCCAGGGUAGCUGGGACUACAAGUGCAUGCCACCACGCCCGGGCAGUUUUCAUAUUGUUUGUAGAGAUGGGGUUUCACCAUGUUGCCCAGGCUGGUCUGGAACUCCAGGACUCAAGCGAUCUGCCUGCCUCAGCCUCUUAAAGUGCUAGGAUUAUAGGCACGGGCCACCUCGCCUGGCCACUACACAAUUAUUGAAAAGGCUCAGACACAUUUCUUACAAGAAGAGCUCAUACCUAAAACACUUCACUAUGUGGUGGGCAUUGUUUUUAAUGCUUGGCAUAUGUAUUAUUAACUAAGUUAAUCCUCAAGAGAACUCUUUGAGGUAGGACUAUUACUAUGCAGUUUUAACAGAUGAGGAAACUGAGGCACAGUUUCCCAGUUAGUGAUAGAGCAAGGAUUGAGACCUAAGUAGCUUGGCCCCUUAGACCAUGCUCCACUUUGCCCCUGCCUUAGGGGCACACCUGGGCACUGUUCAAUUGGGCUUUGCAGGGAGAUUUUAGCCUUUGAACAAAGCCAGCAGCCCCUUAGAAUAAAGACUAGUGAAGCAGGCCAGGUCAUUUUGCGGAAUUAAACUGCUUUUGAUCUAUGAUGAAGUGUAAUUAUAAUGAUGAUCAUCUCGUUAGCUUGGCAUCCUUGGGGGGCUUGGCAGGCAGCUCCUGAAGAAAUUUUGCAAAAAUCUUUGUAGUCAGGGCAACUACUUUGAAACAAAUGUUUCAUCCUCCCAGGAGAGUACUUUGAAGGAAAAUAUCUAUUUGCUAUGGAUACCUUAAGUAUCUGCUUCUGAAAGAAAUAUUUGGGAAGAAGAAGUAGAGCCUGACAUUGAAACAAAACAAAACAGAACAAAAAGCAGGGAAGUUUUAGUAUUCUAUCAUGACACUUUCAUAACCAGCUCCCCUCCAUCAUUCAACUAUUUUUCACCUACAGCGAUCUUCCCUGCCCCCAAAAUUUCCAACUUAAUAUCAGGUUCAUUUUUGUUUCUUUGUUUAUUUGGGGGGAUCUGUUUUUUUUAUUUUCUUUUCUUUUUUCUAAAUUAAAAGAAAUACAGUUAACGUGAUUGGCCCUUCUAACUAGUUAUCCACAGUUCUUGACUAUCCUCAAUUCAUUUACUUUUAUUUAUUCAAUAAAAUGAAUAAAUAAAAUUCAUUUAUUCAACCUGUAUUUACUGAGCACCUACUACAUGCCAGGGAGUAUUUUCGCUACUGAGGAUGUAAUGAUGAAAAGACAGGCAAGGUUCACCCAUGUUGCACCAUGUAUCCACACUUCAUUCCCUUUUAUGGUUAUUCCAUUGUACAGAUAUACCACAUUUUGUUUAUCCGUUC